AAAGAUAUGCAUGUGAUUUGACACCACCACACAACACGCCCAAAGGCUGUCCCAAAGGAGGCAAUCAAUUAUUAAUAAGACUUAAAACUUCUUUUAAGAGGUCUUAAGUUUGAAUCUCACAUGGUGAGAGGUAUAUGGCAAAGGGGAGAGCUAACCCUCCUAUUAUCAACUAACUAGUGUGUGUGUGUGUGUGUGUAGAGAGAGAGAGAGAGAGAGAGAGAGAGAGAGAGAGAGAAGAACCUUAUGCUAGAAGCAUUUCCAGCUGUAACUGAUCCACCACUAACCUUGAAACUUGGUCUAAGCUUCCUCAAUUUGGC
RNAcentral lists this long non-coding RNA (317 nucleotides) under Manihot esculenta (cassava). RNAcentral's name for it is "long non-coding RNA (MESC_LNC004545)". Lineage: Eukaryota; Viridiplantae; Streptophyta; Magnoliopsida; Malpighiales; Euphorbiaceae. The record is from RNAcentral.